Molecule: long non-coding RNA, 1948 nt
Organism: Syngnathoides biaculeatus (alligator pipefish)
Lineage: Eukaryota; Metazoa; Chordata; Actinopteri; Syngnathiformes; Syngnathidae
Exons: 3
Source: RefSeq, a predicted model, not a curated record
UGUGAUCAUAUAAUAUGAGUCCAAUAAAAAGGUGUAAUGUAGCACUUGGACAGUAAAUCAUUUUGUUUUGCUGUUUCAUCAUCGAUGUUACAGCAUCGUGCAAAGGAAAAUGAGGAGUGCUUAACUGCUAAGUGUUUCACACCUAUAUUUGGGCAAAAUGGCCCUUUGAGGGAAACCGUGACUGCGAUGUGGACCGUGACAAAAAUUUGUUUUGACGCCCCUGAUACUGAAGGUGAUGCACUCCACUCUGACUGAAAUGUGUGACUAAAAUCUGCAUUCAUUCUGGUUUUGACUGGGACAGAAAAUACUGGAAUAUAUUUUCUGUCAAUACUAUGCAUGCACAGUAAAUAAUAUAUAUAAUAAUAUACUCCUACUCCUAUCUAAUCUUCUCAGUGUCCAACUUCUUCUCUUUGCUUGUAUGAUUUAUGUACUUUGAAGUUCCACCACCAAAUCUUCUGUUCCCUUUUCCUCCCAGAAGAUACAUCAAGUACUCUCUCAACAACUUAGAGGUCAUGGUCCAGUAUUCUGGAACCUCCUCCUGUCCACUGAGAGCCUGUCUCACCUCUUCCCGAAAAGCCGCAAAGUGCGCUUUCCUUCCUUUCCCAACCUCCACCACAUGGUUUUCUGCUCUGGCGUUAAACCCUACUCCACAUUUGUUCUGAUCCACACCAUGGUAAAAUAAUUUCAACCCUGCCCCUAAACUUCUUUCCUUACUACCUUUCCACCUGCUCUCUUGGAAACAAUUUAUCAACCUUUCUCCUUAUCAUUAUGUCAAACAAUUCCCAAGCUUUUCCCGUCAUAGUCCCAAUAAUCAAAGUCCCCAAGUUCAGUUCUGGACUCUGUGAUUUCCUCUUCUCUUUCUGCCUUAGAACCACUUUCAAGGUCUCCUCCAUUUCCCUCCACAGUACCUGAAUUUCCACCGAUGCCGUGUAGGUUAACGGAGGCAAUGGCGGAUGUUGUUAACUCAGACCACGACCAAUCCACUAUGAAAUUCUUUGGAUGAAUGCUCUUAUUCUUUGGCAAAAGUUUGUUCUUGACGCAACCCUGUGCAUUUACCUAGGCUCAGUACCAGCUUAAAGUUUUCACUGGAUUGAACACCCCUUAAGGCAGGGUCCAUGUAUUUAUAUUAUAUAUGUUGUGUAUUUCACGCAAGUCAAUUUGUAAGUACAUUGAAAGAAGAUUAUUGUUAUUUCACCAUUCAUACUUUGUUGUGAAUUUUGGUUUCUGGUGGUGUGCCAUGGGAUUUUCUAAUCUCUAAAGCUCAUCCAUGGUUUUAUCUCAAGUAGACUUGACUACUGUAAUGGUCUUCUGACUGGACUCCCCAAAAAGAGUAUUAAACAACUGGAGCUCAUUCCAGCAUUCUGAAUGCUCGCGUUCUGACCAAAACAAAGCCGUCAGAGCAUAUAACGCCAAUCCUAAAGUCCUUGCACUGGCUUCCAGUCAUCUUUAGAAUAGAUUUUAAAGUUCUGCUACUGGUCUAUAAAUCACUAAAUAAGGAUUUAAGUCCUGAAUCCAUGAAAGAAAUGCUAACGGAAUACAAACCCAGUAGAGCUCUGAGAUGGACUGAAUCAGGUCAAAUAGUGGAGCGCAGAGUCCAAAGCAAACAUGGUGAAGCAGCAUUUAGCUAUUAUGCUGCUUCACAAAUGAAAGAAGUUGCUAAAAGAAGCAAUUUCAGCCCCAAAUGUGAAUGUUUUUAAGUCCAGGUUGAAAACUUUUCUUUUUUCUCAUGCUUUUUAGAAUAUGUCCACUUUUUGAUCAUAUUACUUGCAUUGUAUGCGGUUUUAAUUGUCUUUUUUUAUAUUUUGUCAUUUUUAAUGUUUUUAUCCUGUUUAAAUGUUUUAUCUCAUUGUUUUCAAAUGCCUUUAAUCACGUAAAGCACAUUGAGUUACCUCGUUUAUUAAAUGUGCUAUACAAAUAAAUGUGCUUUGCUUUGCUUUGCUUAAUGUGA